GGCCCGUUGAUGAUGAUUUCUGGUCUAACCUGCCCAAUGAGAAUUAAAUGGCUGCGGUAUAUUGACCGUACAAAGGUAGCAUAAUCAUUAGUUUUUUAAUUGAAAGCUUGUAUGAAAGGUUUAAUGAGAAAAUUACUGUCUCUAGAGGAAUUUAUUAGAAUUUUAUUUUUAGGUGAGAAAGCUUAAAUAUUUAUAGAAGACGAGAAGACCCUAUAGAUUUUUAUAAUUAUUUAUAUAAGCAAAUUAAAGGAAAGAAAAUGUACUUUUAUAAUUUAAUUAUUUUGUUGGGGUGAUAGAAAAAUUUAAGAAACUUUUUUUUUAUAAAUUAAACAUUAAUUUAUGGAGAGAUGAUCCUUGUAUAAAGAUUAAAAGAGUAAAUUACCUUAGGGAUAACAGCGUGAUUUUUCUUAGAGUUCUUAUCGAAAGAAAAGAUUGCGACCUCGAUGUUGGAUUAAAAUAAAUAUUUGGUGAAGAUGCUGAGUAAUUAGGUCUGUUCGACCUUUAAAAUUUUACAUGAUCUGAGUUUAAACCGGUGUGAGCCAGGUCGGUUUCUAUCU
Molecule: ribosomal RNA, 557 nt
Filed under: Trigonopterus myops
Lineage: Eukaryota; Metazoa; Arthropoda; Insecta; Coleoptera; Curculionidae
Description: partial large subunit ribosomal RNA
Rfam family: Bacterial large subunit ribosomal RNA
Source: RNAcentral